RNAcentral lists this long non-coding RNA (260 nucleotides) under Elaeis guineensis (African oil palm). RNAcentral describes it as "long non-coding RNA (EGUI_LNC080150)". The record is from RNAcentral. Lineage: Eukaryota; Viridiplantae; Streptophyta; Magnoliopsida; Arecales; Arecaceae.
AAGAGUCCCACUGGUUUAGGACUCUUCGAUCAGGGUUACAUAUCGAUGAAUUCUGAUGCCCGAUUAUCCAUCGAAUUUGGACUCAAUAUUUAUGAGAGGUUUAAUUAGUGAUUUGAUUACUAAUUAACUCAAUUUGAUUGAGUAUUUAUUUUUGGAUCAAGUCCAAUUGAAUUGGAUUCAGUUGGGUUUGAUCCGAUUAGGUUAAGAGUUGACCUAAUCGUCGAGAUGGUUUGGUCCCUGAUAUGAUCAGGGGUUUGGUU